AGACCCGAAACCCGGUGAUCUAGCCAUGGGCAGGUUGAAGGUUGGGUAACACUAACUGGAGGACCGAACCGACUAAUGUUGAAAAAUUAGCGGAUGACCUGUGGCUGGGGGUGAAAGGCCAAUCAAACCGGGAGAUAGCUGGUUCUCCCCGAAAGCUAUUUAGGUAGCGCCUCGUGAAUUCAUCUCCGGGGGUAGAGCACUGUUUCGGCUAGGGGGCCAUCCCGGCUUACCAACCCGAUGCAAACUGCGAAUACCGGAGAAUGUUAUCACGGGAGACACACGGCGGGUGCUAACGUCCGUCGUGAAGAGGGAAACAACCCAGACCGCCAGCUAAGGUCCCAAAGUCAUGGUUAAGUGGGAAACGAUGUGGGAAGGCCCAGACAGCCAGGAUGUUGGCUUAGAAGCAGCCAUCAUUUAAAGAAAGCGUAAUAGCUCACUGGUCGAGUCGGCCUGCGCGGAAGAUGUAACGGGGCUAAACCAUGCACCGAAGCUGCGGCAGCGAACGUAUCACCCAAGACAACUUUACGGAGUUGACGAUUGACGGAGCGAAGCGACGUCAAAGCGUUCAUUAAAGUCGAGUUGGCUUAG
This 588-nucleotide ribosomal RNA is filed under the name Salmonella enterica. Its description in RNAcentral is "partial 23S ribosomal RNA". It matches the Rfam family "Bacterial large subunit ribosomal RNA", at positions 711 to 1231 of the family's 2925-position model. The record is from RNAcentral. Lineage: Bacteria; Pseudomonadati; Pseudomonadota; Gammaproteobacteria; Enterobacterales; Enterobacteriaceae. RNAcentral also lists the same sequence under 2 other names.